UGGUCAGACAUGGUUUCACAGAGGUUUAGAAACAAAGGACACCACUGGUAUGGUGAUGCUCAUUUACAACUAUCAUGUGAUGCAAACACACAUAUGAUGGCCUUCUUUCGGUUUCUGUCAACCAAAUCCAAUCAUAAAGCUUUGAUCAUUUCAGCACUAUAGUAGAAGAUAUUUCUCAAGAUGCCAUUCAAUAGGACUGGACCCCAAAUCAUGUCAUUGACGCAUUUGUGAUGAGAGAAAGAAAAGAGCUAUUUAUGAAAAUUAAAUGAAACAAGCAACGGGUUGGUUACAGACUGCUAACAGCUUAUACCUACUUAGUCAUUAUGGAGUUACUUUUUGAAAAUGUAUGGAUCAUGAAUAUGAAAUAAUAUCUCAAUAAGCCAAAGUCGUAAGAGGCAAAUUUUUACUGUUUCAUCCGUCAUACUUUGAAGAUAAAAUGUACGUUUUCCUAA
Long non-coding RNA from Octopus bimaculoides (California two-spot octopus), 452 nucleotides. The record is from RefSeq and is a predicted model, not a curated record. Lineage: Eukaryota; Metazoa; Mollusca; Cephalopoda; Octopoda; Octopodidae.